ACCUAGUUAAUUCUGCUAGUAGUUAUAUGCUUGUCUUAAAGAUUAAGCCAUGCAUAUCUAAGUAUAAGUAAUUAUACUAUGAAACUGCAAAUAGCUUAUUAAAUCAGUUAUUGUUUAUUUAAUAGUACCUUACUACUUAGAUAACUAUAGUAAUUCUAGAGCUAAUACAUGCUAAAAACCCUAACUUUAGAAGGGGUGUAUUUAUUAGAUAAAAAACCAACGCCCUUUAGGGCUUCUUAGUAAUUUAUAAUAACUUUAUAGAUUACAUGGCCUUACGCUAGCAAUAGUUUAUUUAAAUUUCUGCCCUAUUAACUUUUAAUAGUAAGGUAUUAGCUUACUAUAGUUUCAACGGGUAACAGGGAAUUAGGGUUUAAUUCUAAAGAGGGAGCCUAAGAAACAGCUACUACAUCUAAGGAAGGCAGCAGGCGCGUAAAUUACCCAAUCCUAACACAGGGAGGUAGUAAUAAUAAAUACUAAUACAGGGCUCUUUUAGGUCUUAUAAUUAGAAUAAGUACAAUUUAAACCUCUUAACGAGGAAUAAUUAAAGGGCAAGUCUGGUGCUAGCAGCUANNNNNNNNNNNNNNNNNNNNCGAGAAAUUAAAGUUUUUAGGUUCUAGGGGGAGUAUAGUCGCAAGGCUAAAACUUAAAGAAAUUAAUAGAAGGGCACUACUAGGCGUAGAGCCUGCAGCUUAAUUUAACUUAACACAGGGAAACUUACUAGGUCUAGAUAAAAUAAGGAUUAACAGAUUAAGAGCUCUUUCUUAAUUUUUUAGGUAGUGGUGCAUGGCUGUUCUUAGUUGGUAGAGUGAUUUAUCUGCUUAAUUGUAAUAAUAAACGAGACCUUAACCUACUAAAUAGCUAGGCUAGCUUUAGCUAGUUGCUGGCUUCUUAGAGGGACUAUCAGCUCAAGCUAAUAGAAGUUUAAGGCAAUAACAGGUCUGUAAUGCCCUUAGAUGUUCUAGGCCGCACGCGCGCUACACUAACAGAGCUAACGAGUUCUUUACCUUAACUAAAAGGUCUAGGUAAUCUUAUUAAACUCUAUUAUGCUAGGGAUAGAGUAUUGUAAUUAUUGCUCUUUAACAAGGAAUACCUAGUAAGCGCGUGUUAUUAGCAUGCAUUAAUUACGUCCCUGCCCUUUAUACACACCGCCCGUUGCUACUACUAAUUAAAUGGCUUAGUAAGGCCUUUAGACUAGCUUAGGGAGGUUAGUAACAACUAUCCUAAGCCAGAAAGUUUGUUAAACUUAGUUAUUUAGAGGAAGUAAAAGUUAUAAUAAGGUUUCUGUAGGUAAACCUGCGGAAG
This 1302-nucleotide ribosomal RNA is filed under the name Plenodomus biglobosus/Leptosphaeria biglobosa 'thlaspii' group. Its description in RNAcentral is "SSU rRNA". It matches the Rfam family "Eukaryotic small subunit ribosomal RNA". Lineage: Eukaryota; Fungi; Ascomycota; Dothideomycetes; Pleosporales; Leptosphaeriaceae. The record is from RNAcentral.